AGUCAGAACUAGUCAAUAAGAAGCCUAAACUAUUGGUCAGCAGUUUUAUAGUUAAUAUAGCAUCUGUGUGCUUAUUUGGGGCUGAGAAGGGUGGCGAGACCUGUUGGGUGGGACAAGAAGAAUUUCUCAAACAAGCAAGUAGGUCUGCUGACAUCAGUCUGCAAUCCCAGCACACAAUAGGCUAAGGCUGGAGGACCACAAGUUCAAAGUGCAUCUGGAUCUGGGCCACAGAAAAAGUUCAGUUUACUAAGACCCUCUCUCAAAGUAGAAAGAGGCUGGAUAUAUAGCUCAGUGGGAAAACAACUGGCAUCAUGUGGAAUGCCUUGGGUAGUCCCUAGAACCAUUGUGCAUUGUGUGUGUGUGUGUGUGUGUGUGUGUGUGUGUGUGUGUGUGUGUGUGUGUGUGUUGGGUGGUGUUGAGGGUGGAGAUGACAUAGGAAUGGGCAGUCAUUGGAAGAAGGAGAAAGAGAGAAAGUCUUAUGGAAUACUGGCAGGAAUGCAAGGUCUGACUAACAAAAUGAGUAGUGUCCUUCAGAGGGACACAAGGCAAAUCAAAAAGGGAUGGUGGGCGAAAAGAUGGCUUAGCCCUUAAAGGAUAAGGCUUACAAAAGGGGCAGGAAGGAUGGUGCCAUUGAUAUUUAGAGAGGGGAAUGUUUUAAGGAAGUGGAUGGAUGAUUGUAUAUAUUAGCAUGAUAGUCUAUCAUGUUGCAAAGCUCUUGUUAAUAAUCCUAAUGAAAAAUCUGACCCUUUGUUCUUAAUGAUAAGCAUGAUGGUACUCCAGCAUGUGUUUUGUGUUUAUCAUGUAAGUCUCGUGACUUACUAUGAGUUUUGCUUAAUUGUAUGUAGCUAUCAUUAAGGAUCUCAUGUAUAUUUUGCACAUGUUCUUAACUCAGCUUCCCUUUGAUUUCCUGGCUCAGUGAUAACAUUCCUCUUGUAUUUUCUAUAUACUGCAUGUAUGUAUCUUUUAAUAUUUUUCCUCCUUCUGCAUAGCUCUCUUCUUACAGUGGAAGAUAAAGAAAAAAAAGUGGUUAGUAUUAUAGCUGGAUGUAAAGAAAUAUGGUAUAAAAAAUCCAAACCAAAAACUUAGAUUUAGUAAGGAGCAAACCAGUAAUUUGGAUGACAUUGAUUUAAGGCUUGGUAUGGUGAGUGAUCACACAUAUGUAUGCAUGCAAACCCACAAAAGAAGAUUCACAUGUAAUUAAUUGAUAUAUGAAUGGUAAACAAAGCAUGGAACAUAAUUCAGUGAAUUAUUUAUUCAAGCUUUAAAAGGAAGAAAAUUCUGACAUUAUGCCCGAUAUGGAUGAUUCUUGAUGAAGAAAUGAAUAUGCCUAACAAUACAAAUACUAUAUAAUUUUCAAAAUGUGAAAUACUUGCAGAAUUUUCAAAAAUCACUCUGAUAGAAGAAUUGAUAGACAUGAGAGUAGGGAAUUGCUACAUAAAUGACUCAUACUAUUUUCAGUUUCACAGCAUAAAAAGUAUUCUGAAAAUAGAUUUUGGUGAUAGAAGCACAUUAAAAUGACUUAAUUCUACUUGGUUAUACUUAUAAAAAUGGUGACGAUAGUAAAUUCUGUGUUAUAUGUAUUUUGUCAUCAUAAGCAUCAACGAGAGUGAGAUAAGUAGGAACAGUGAUUAACACCCUACUUAAGAGAUAGUCAAUAUGAAAGGAAAUUGAAUGGUAACUGCAAGUGGGUAAUAUGAUUAAGCAAAGGGUUUUUCUUGGGAACAAGUAGAUAAGAUUAUAUUUAAAAGAAAAAAAGGAAGCACUUGACAAUUACAAGUACAACAAAUUUCUCACAGCUAGUAAGUACUUUUUGAGUAGCUAUGUUUGCAAGGUUGUUUUCCUAUAUCUUCACAUUUAACAAUGGCAUCUGUUUCCUUCAGUAAUAAUUGUAUUCAUGAGUUGAUAAGAUUUUGAGUUUUGCUGGGCAGUGGAGGCACAUGCCUUUAAUCUUAGCAUUCACUAGGCAGAAGCAGGUGUGAGUUCAAAGCCAGCCUAGCUUACAGAGUAAAUUCCAGGACAGCCCAGGUUAUACACAGAAACCCUGUCUCAAACAACAAACAGAAUUUAAGCUCAGACAGGCAAGAAACUUACUGGGAAUAUAGUUCUCCAUUGGAAUGCAGAGGAUGGCAGUGACUUUAGGUCUGCUCACCAUUUUCAAAUCCUUUGAAUUCAUUGUUUAUUGGAAAUUAGAAUAACAGUCCUUGUUAAGCAAUGUCCUUUACUUUUUGAAAGGCAUUGGAGAUAGGAGGGUGGAGAUGAGACACCCAAGAAAUUAUUUACAUUAUAAAUUGGCCUAUGAAUUUGUUUAGUUUCUCAAUUAUGUAUUAUAAGCAUUUAAAAUGCUAACAUUGUUCUUUUAUAUAUUUUGACCAAUACCAAUUUUUUUUGUGUGGCAGAAUUUAAUGAUAGUGCUAUUCUAGCUCUCCCACAGUGAGUAAUAAUAGGUUUCUGUGUAUUAUACUAACUGCAUUCACACUGAUCCAGAGUCUGUGGCUUUAGCAAAGGUAAGCAUAUCCCACAUUGUAGUGUGAGAUAGUUGACAUUCAUCUGCUUUGGUAGUUGACUAAAUCUCUUUAGACGGUUUUAAAUGGACAUGCUUAAUUGCAUCAAUUUGACUGUGACAUUAGACUACAUUCUCUUUUAGAUAUGUAACUGAAAGCUUUGAAAGAGGGUAGGUUAAGUUAGUCUGUUUGAAGGCUUGGUCUAGUUUCUUUGAAUACUUUUUAGAAAUGUAAUCUCUCUUAAAACUUGUUUUAUGUUAAAAACUGUAGACAGAUUUCAUCCUGUGAUGAAUCUAAAUGCUAAUUCCUGUACAUAACUAUUUGUUUACCAUGCUUCAUUGAAUGGUUUGAAAUUGCAGUAUAGUGUAUUUUCUUUUUUAAUGUAGAAUUUCAAAAUCUGAACCCUUUAGUAAGUCUGCUUCUCCUCUCCCCCUUCCACCCUCUCCAUCCCCUUCUUUCCUUUCUUUCUCUCUUUUCACAUGGAGACUCAAAAUGACAAAAAGUAAUGAAUACUUUUUGGUAAGGAGACUUGAUCAUCAGCAAUAUCCUUUAUCGCAAGGGACCAAAGUGAGAUUCACUUACUUCCUUCAGGCAGUUAUCAAUAAUUGUUUAGUUCUUUCUGUGAGACAUGCAUUAUUCUAGACAUUGGGAGUAGAUAGUCAAUAAAGUAGAUAUUCUGCCCUCAUGGGAUCAACAAUUUCUGGGAGAGAUUGAACACAUUUGAAUGUCCAUGUAUGCAUAGAUGCAUUUACAAUCAGACAACUACUGGUACAGUUUUGUGAUAAAACUAUGGCAGAGUAGCCAGAUAGCCUUUGAUCAGGGAAGGCAAGGGCUGCUUAAAUAACAUACUUAUUAUUUAUUAAGUAAUAUAGGUGUGUGUGUUGCACAUGCACAUGGAAGCUUGAAGUUGAUGGUGGGAAUCUUUCUCACUUGCUAUUCCAUCUUAUUCUUUGAGGCAUGGUCUCUGAAUCAAACAUGAAUCUAACCAAUGCUAGCCCACUUGCUCUGGGGAUUUCCAGUCUUGGCCUUCUGAGUGUGAAAUUACAGGGUUUCAUGUAGUCCAGGCCUGGAUCAAACUGGCUCAGAAUGAUUUAUGAAGAUUUGAAGUUUCAGCUACCAAAGGAGUUCAGUAAAAUACAGGAGACGGUAGGAUAAAAUGGAUAACGAUGCAUUGCUCUGAGGACUGAAAGACAGGCAGUCUUUGGAGCAAAGGGAGCUCCUAGUCACGAGAAGAAAAGGUAUUUGCAAGGUGUCUUCAAGGAACUCAGAUAGCAAACGGAAAAGUGAGUUUUGUCCCUCCAGUAACUCUGCCUUGUGUUAGAGUUGUGUUGUUUUAAAAAUACAUUUCAAAAGAAACUAAUUUUGCAAAGCUACUUGAGAACCACAACUGCCUACUCAGGUAGAGUAGUAAGUAAUAGGACUGGGCUGUUUCACACUGUUUUUAUUUGAUUUUCUUCCUUGAAACUGGUCUCCUUGAAAAUUGGGGCAGUAUUUGAUGUGCUGGAUUGCUUAGAUCGGGUCUUUUACUAUUGAAAAAUCAAAAGCCAGAGAGAAUCUUCUCCUGUUUUCUUGGCUGAGAGUUUGUGUGGGUGUGUGCAGUGCAGCUGUGCUGUGGGUUUCUUGGCAGUCAGAUGGGGCAGUUCUCCAUGUCGUCAUCUCAGAAGGAAGAGAAGCCUUCAUGUAAAAAGCCUACUUUGACUGGAUUAGAUUCAGCAGGAGGCAUCCAGGCCUGAGCUCCUGGCUGGUAGCUUCGCUUGUUUGGCUCCAUGGAUCCAGCAGCCUCAGGCCCAUAUACAGACGUUGUGACAGAGCUCUAUUAAAAAGAAAACAGCUUUGUCUCAGUAUAAAAUUGCCACUUGGCACAUACAGUUUUAAAAUAAAGUUUUUAUUAGUUAUUGUGAUUUGUUCAAGUUUCUCUCUUUAAAGAUCACAUAUUGAAAAAGGCAGACUGUAAAAACAUUGCAUGUAAAUGUGAAUUCAGAAUUUUCUAUAAUUUAUGAGAAUGCUCUUUUCCUAAAUCCUUUUCUGCACAGAUGGAUUCACAGUACUGUGUUCAGUGCUUCCUUGUUGUCUUCAGCCCCAUUUGCCCUCUUGUGUAGUCUGUAAACACUUCGUUUUCCCAAAUCCUCAGAUUAAACGCAGACAGUAUGCAACGCUCCAUUUUUCAAGCACACUCACAGCCUUCCCUUGGAUAAACUCAUUGUAGCCCAUUACACACUGCAGGCAGACAAAAGCCUCUUGCUUGAGUCUCAUUGCUUUCUUCUUUGUAUCUUUGCUCUUAGUUGUUACUUUCAAAGUAGUGCAGAGUAAGAUUCUGUGGUCAAAUCCAAUCUUUUCUAGUGUGGUCCCCUCUGAUUUUCUCCUGUUUCUCAAAUAACACCACCACCACCAC
Long non-coding RNA from Mesocricetus auratus (golden hamster), 4893 nucleotides. RefSeq lists it as uncharacterized. The transcript has 3 exons. NCBI's taxonomy places the organism in Eukaryota, Metazoa, Chordata, Mammalia, Rodentia, Cricetidae. The record is from RefSeq and is a predicted model, not a curated record.